This 260-nucleotide long non-coding RNA is filed under the name Elaeis guineensis (African oil palm). Its description in RNAcentral is "long non-coding RNA (EGUI_LNC025945)". The record is from RNAcentral. Lineage: Eukaryota; Viridiplantae; Streptophyta; Magnoliopsida; Arecales; Arecaceae.
UAGUCAAUCUUUUCAAAUUGUAAUCAUAACCUGGCAUCCUGUCAGUCUGAAAAAGAAAAAAGAAAAAAAGCAUGGUGAGCUUUAUAGCCCAAUAAGACUUUCCACAAACCAACACCAAUAUAAUAAUAAUGAAUGAGAAAUUAACCAUGGUUGUUACUCAUAUAAAUCCAUGCCAAAAGAUACCAUGCUUCAUAAAAAUAUGUAUAGUAAAUAUAUUUUUUUGUGCAAUAAGUUAAAUUAUACAAUUAUCUCAAAUUAAC